UUAACUCAAAUUUGUACGGAGUUGGAACGUUUGCUUACGUUUGCCGCUAGGGGUGCUGUUCCAACUGCAUACAAAUCCGAGUUA
Molecule: non-coding RNA, 84 nt
Organism: Bombyx mori (domestic silkworm)
Lineage: Eukaryota; Metazoa; Arthropoda; Insecta; Lepidoptera; Bombycidae
Source: Rfam